CCCUAUUUACUCAUAUCUUAACGUCUCUGUCUCUCUUGCGUCUGAUGUAUAUAAAGACUUGAACACUAAUGAGUUUUUGCUUCUUUAAUCUCCUCCAAACUGCAGUAAAUGUUUGUAGUUCUCAUACUCAGAUUACUACAACUUAUCGAUAACCAUAUAAGAUUGAAACAAAAUCAGAUUAUUAGUCUUAAAAAAAUAAGAAUAAGUUGACUAUAAAUCAGAUUAUUACUCUCAACUUCUGUAGUAAGUAAUCAUAUUGUUACAUAAACCUCGUACUGUUAGUUUUGAUAGCAAACUAUAAAGACUUACCAGGCUCUUGAGUUCUUUGUAAGAAUAGCAUUGCUAUAAUAUAAUAGUUCUUGAGGAAACAACUGUUUUUCCUGCUCUUGUCAGUAUCUUUCUUAUCUAUCUCCUCAGAACCUGGAAAAAAAGGAUUUAACAUACAUUACUGAUCAAUUUUUGCAGGUUAAUAAAUCUCUUGUGGAGUUAAUAAAGGCGUCAGGAAUGAAGAAAACACCAACCGAUUGGACUAACCUCACCCCUGAAACUCCCGGUAUAAGAGUUACACAGUUAUCCAUUCUUGUAGACCACUCUUAUUCUAUUGAAGGUUGUUCUGAGAC
Molecule: long non-coding RNA, 620 nt
Filed under: Brassica napus (rape)
Lineage: Eukaryota; Viridiplantae; Streptophyta; Magnoliopsida; Brassicales; Brassicaceae
Description: long non-coding RNA (BNAP_LNC012865)
Source: RNAcentral